RNAcentral lists this ribosomal RNA (468 nucleotides) under uncultured bacterium. RNAcentral describes it as "partial 16S ribosomal RNA". It matches the Rfam family "Bacterial small subunit ribosomal RNA", at positions 28 to 507 of the family's 1533-position model. The record is from RNAcentral.
GACGAACGCUGGCGGCGUGCUUAACACAUGCAAGUCGAACGGAAAGGCCCUGCUUUUGUGGGGUGCUCGAGUGGCGAACGGGUGAGUAACACGUGAGUAACCUGCCCUUGACUUUGGGAUAACUUCAGGAAACUGGGGCUAAUACCGGAUAGGAGCUCCUGCUGCAUGGUGGGGGUUGGAAAGUUUCGGCGGUUGGGGAUGGACUCGCGGCUUAUCAGCUUGUUGGUGGGGUAGUGGCUUACCAAGGCUUUGACGGGUAGCCGGCCUGAGAGGGUGACCGGCCACAUUGGGACUGAGAUACGGCCCAGACUCCUACGGGAGGCAGCAGUGGGGAAUAUUGCACAAUGGGCGGAAGCCUGAUGCAGCAACGCCGCGUGCGGGAUGACGGCCUUCGGGUUGUAAACCGCCUUCGCCUGUGACGAAGCGUGAGUGACGGUAAUGGGUAAAGAAGCACCGCCUAACUACGUG